CCUAGGGAGGCUGCAGUGGGGAAUAUUGGACAAUGGGCGAAAGCCUGAUCCAGCCAUGCCGCGUGUGUGAAGAAGGCCUUCGGGUUGUAAAGCACUUUCAGUGGGGAAGAAAGCCUUGGGGCUAAUACCCUCGAGGAAGGACAUCACCCACAGAAGAAGCACCGGCUAACUCCGUGCCAGCAGCCGCGGUAAUACGGAGGGUGCGAGCGUUAAUCGGAAUUACUGGGCGUAAAGCGCGCGUAGGCGGUCUGAUAAGCCGGUUGUGAAAGCCCCGGGCUCAACCUGGGAACGGCAUCCGGAACUGUCAGGCUAGAGUGCAGGAGAGGAAGGUAGAAUUCCCGGUGUAGCAGUGAAAUGCGUAGAGAUCGGGAGGAAUACCAGUGGCGAAGGCGGCCUUCUGGACUGACACUGACGCUGAGGUGCGAAAGCGUGGGUAGCAAACAGGAUUAGAUACCCCUGUAGUC
RNAcentral lists this ribosomal RNA (464 nucleotides) under Vreelandella stevensii. RNAcentral describes it as "partial 16S ribosomal RNA". It matches the Rfam family "Bacterial small subunit ribosomal RNA", at positions 338 to 795 of the family's 1533-position model. The record is from RNAcentral. Lineage: Bacteria; Pseudomonadati; Pseudomonadota; Gammaproteobacteria; Oceanospirillales; Halomonadaceae.